This 422-nucleotide unclassified non-coding RNA is filed under the name Hevea brasiliensis (rubber tree). Lineage: Eukaryota; Viridiplantae; Streptophyta; Magnoliopsida; Malpighiales; Euphorbiaceae. The record is from RNAcentral.
GAAAAUUCCUCUUAUUUGUUUCCAGAUAUUGCUUUUUAUGCGCUUAGCGGGGACCCCACCAAGUGCUGCAUUUAUCCCAAUUCCUGUUCUGUUUAUUCCUCUUUUCCUACUUCAAGGAGCUGGUCUUUUAUUCUCUGUUUAUAGACUUGUGGAGACGGUUAUUCUUCUGGUAGAUGGUGAACGUGGUGUUAGAAGCUAUUUUAGGAUGUCUUCUGUUAUUCGUGAUUCUUUCAGUUGCAUGCGUCAUGGGUCAAGGUUGUUAGGUUGGUGGUCAAUUGAUGAAGAUAGCCGAGAGGAACAAGCUCGUCUAUAUUAUGCAGAGACAGAGACAUCUGGGUACAAUACUUUCUCACCAGAUACUGUAAAGCAAAUGCCUAAGGCGAAGCUUACUGAAGAGAUAUGGAGAUUACAAGCAGCACUUU